GGAAGUAAAAGUCGUAACAAGGUUUCCGUAGGUGAACCUGCGGAAGGAUCAUUACAGUACUCACCCAGGUUGCCGCAAGGCCUCCUGGGUAACCUACCACCCUUUGUUUAUUACACUUUGUUGCUUUGGCAAGCCUGCCCUCGGGCUGCUGGCUCCGGCCGGCGAGCGCUUGCCAGAGGACCUAAACUCUGUUUGUCUAUACUGUCUGAGUACUAUAUAAUAGUUAAAACUUUCAACAACGGAUCUCUUGGUUCUGGCAUCGAUGAAGAACGCAGCGAAAUGCGAUAAGUAAUGUGAAUUGCAAAAUUCAGUGAAUCAUCGAAUCUUUGAACGCACAUUGCGCCCCCUGGUAUUCCGGGGGGCAUGCCUGUCCGAGCGUCAUUACAACCCUCAAGCUCAUCUUGGUAUUGGGCCCCGCCGACCCGGCGGGCCCUAAAGUCAGUGGCGGUGCCGCCCGGCUCCGAGCGUAGUAAUUCUUCUCGCUCUGGAGGUCCGGUCGUGUGCUCGCCAGCAACCCCCAAUUUUUUUCAGGUUGACCUCGGAUCAGGUAGGGAUACCCGCUGAACUUAAGCAUAUCAAUAAGCGGAGGAAAUCGACGACCUGCAGGCAUG
This 611-nucleotide ribosomal RNA is filed under the name uncultured Geomyces. Its description in RNAcentral is "eukaryotic LSU rRNA". The stretch from base 228 to 381 matches the Rfam family "5.8S ribosomal RNA". Lineage: Eukaryota; Fungi; Ascomycota; Leotiomycetes; Myxotrichaceae. The record is from RNAcentral.